UGGGGAAUAUUGCACAAUGGGGGAAAGACCCUGAUGCAGCGACGCCGCGUGAGCGAAGAAGUAUUUCGGUAUGUAAAGCUCUAUCAGCAGGGAAGAAAAUGACGGUACCUGAGUAAGAAGCUCCGGCUAAAUACGUGCCAGCAGCCGCGGUAAUACGUAUGGAGCAAGCGUUAUCCGGAUUUACUGGGUGUAAAGGGAGCGCAGGCGGCAGGGCAAGUCUGAUGUGAAAUACCGGGGCUCAACCCCGGAGCUGCAUUGGAAACUGUCGUGCUGGAGUGUCGGAGAGGCAGGCGGAAUUCCUAGUGUAGCGGUGAAAUGCGUAGAUAUUAGGAGGAACACCAGUGGCGAAGGCGGCCUGCUGGACGAUGACUGACGCUGAGGCUCGAAAGCGUGGGGAGCAAACAGGAUUAGAUACC
RNAcentral lists this ribosomal RNA (416 nucleotides) under uncultured bacterium. RNAcentral's name for it is "bacterial SSU rRNA". It matches the Rfam family "Bacterial small subunit ribosomal RNA", at positions 355 to 786 of the family's 1533-position model. The record is from RNAcentral.